RNAcentral lists this ribosomal RNA (399 nucleotides) under uncultured bacterium. RNAcentral describes it as "bacterial SSU rRNA". It matches the Rfam family "Bacterial small subunit ribosomal RNA", at positions 359 to 775 of the family's 1533-position model. The record is from RNAcentral.
GAAUAUUACACAAUGGAGGAAACUCUGAUGUAGCAACGCCGCGUGGAGGAUGACACAUUUCGGUGCGUAAACUCCUUUUAUGUGAGAAGAUAAUGACGGUAUCACAUGAAUAAGCACCGGCUAACUCCGUUCCAGCAGCCGCGGUAAUACGGAGGGUGCAAGCGUUACUCGGAAUCACUGGGCGUAAAGCGCGCGCAGGCGGCUUUGUAAGUUGGAUGUGAAAUCCUAUGGCUCAACCAUAGAACUGCAUCCAAAACUACUUAGCUAGAGUCUGGGAGGGGAAGAUGGAAUUAGUGGUGUAGGGGUAAAAUCCGUAGAGAUCACUAGGAAUACCAAAAGCGAAGGCGAUCUUCUGGAACAGUACUGACGCUGAGGCGCGAAAGCGUGGGGAGCAAACAG